CCAUCUUCCUCUCUCACUCACUCUCACGUGUCUCACCUUCUUUUUCUUCUUCUUCCCGGCCGUCUCCUCCGUAUCAGCAUCCCAGUGCCGUUGCCGCUUCUCUUCCGAUCAGUGCUGCCGCCGCAUCCACACUCCUUGUUUUUACUGCCAGGAUAGCUCUUGAUGGAUCCGCUGACCCAGAAUACUUCGUUGCAACGCCUUCAAAAUGUGGAGAAGGUUGGACUAACUUUCUAUACCCUAAAUUUUUUGUUUCUAGUUCUUUGCAUGGUCUUUAAUUGUACCACAAGAUUUCUUACGGCCAAUUUUUGUGUUCCAUUCCUGCAGAGAAUUGUGAGGGUUUUGGAGCUUGCAGGGGGAGUCAUGGAAGAGCUUGCCAACCCUGCUGGUCCAAGAAAGGAAUUUGUCAACAAUCAUUGCAGUGAGUUCAUGCAAUUCAUCAAGGAUAUCCAAGUUACGUUGCGGGAUGAAAUCAAAAGUGCGUGUGAAUAUCGUCCAUUCGAGAAGUGUGAUUAUAGUUCAAGGAUUACUAAUGAACUUUGCUGCAAGAAACUGGAAUACAUGAUUUCGAAGUUGGAUGGAAUGAAGCAAACCAUUGAUGAAUAUCAAGUGAAAAUGGAAGAUGCUUGAGUUUAUGUUCGACUAACAUCGGGGUGCCAUUGGCAGCUCUUCGCUUGCGUCCUUGGGCAGUAGUGCAGGGACUUUAAUCUUGAUGAAAGAGCCUAUAGUACGAUUUAACAGAAGAUCUGUGUCGAAGCCUACCUAAAUUGAACUUGAACGAAGAGAAAGGAAGGAGAGAAAUAGAGGUGGAGAAAUGGUGUAUUAACUUAGAUGGGACCAAUUUUGUGUAAUUUGGAAUUGAAUAUCUCACCUACAUUUGGGUUAUGUAUUAAGUUUCUUCACAUCUCACCUAAUUACAUACUUUACUUUGCUUUCUAUUUAUUGGAGGGGACAAUAGUUAUGUCCGUCUUCCCUAAAGGACCACUAACAACUAUUUCAUAUACUCGA
Molecule: non-coding RNA, 1005 nt
Organism: Cucurbita pepo subsp. pepo (vegetable marrow)
Lineage: Eukaryota; Viridiplantae; Streptophyta; Magnoliopsida; Cucurbitales; Cucurbitaceae
Source: RefSeq, a predicted model, not a curated record